GAUGAACGCUGGCGGCGUGCCUAACACAUGCAAGUCGAGCGGCAGCGAGGGGUGCUUGCACCCUGUCGGCGAGCGGCGGACGGCUGAGUAACGCGUGGGAACGUGCCCCAAAGUGAGGAAUAACUGCCCGAAAGGGUAGCUAAUACCGCAUAUUAUCUUCGGAUCAAAGGAUUUAUCCGCUUUGGGAGCGGCUCGCGUCGGAUUAGGUAGUUGGUGAGGUAAUGGCUCACCAAGCCGACGAUCCGUAGCUGGUCUGAGAGGAUGACCAGCCAGACUGGAACUGAGACCCGGUCCAGACUCCUACGGGAGGCAGCAGUGAGGAAUCUUCCACAAUGGGCGAAAGCCUGAUGGAGCAACGCCGCGUGCAGGACGAAGGCCUUCGGGUUGUAAACUGCUUUUAUAAGUGAGGAAUAUGACGGUAACUUAUGAAUAAGGAUCGGCUAACUACGUG
Molecule: ribosomal RNA, 451 nt
Filed under: uncultured bacterium
Lineage: Bacteria
Description: partial 16S ribosomal RNA
Rfam family: Bacterial small subunit ribosomal RNA
Source: RNAcentral